Molecule: long non-coding RNA, 1337 nt
Filed under: Homo sapiens (human)
Lineage: Eukaryota; Metazoa; Chordata; Mammalia; Primates; Hominidae
Description: HSALNT0005524
Source: RNAcentral
CACGUACUUUUGACAGCUCCAAUUGUUAAAACAGUUUCGUUUUCCCUCUGAGAAGCUGAGAGGCACAUCUUCCCCUACCACCCACCUCUGUGUAUAGCAGGACCGUGAUAGCUGCUACCACGGUGUGUUGGUCUGUGUGGGAUGGCAUAGCAAAUAUCAUGGACUGGAAGGUCUAAACAACAGAAGUGCAUGAUCACACAGUCAAAGUUCUGGAGGCUGGAAAUUCAAGACCAAGUUAUCAGCAGGGCUCUAAAAUGAGUGGGAGAUGUGAAGGAUUUCCUGGAAGAGGUGGGAAGACUGCUGUCAAACAGAUACCCUGGCAGAAGGAUCUGAGGCCUGAGACCCAAGCUGCCCCGCCUGCCCAGAACUCGGAUGGGGUCUGCCCUUACUUCCCACUCGCCCCUGCCAGACUUCCCCUAAAUCCUCUCCUGGACCCCACAAUCUUGCUCCUUCCCCUGGUGUGACUUCAGCUCCUGGAGGACAAGAAACACAUCUGUGGCCAGUUCACGGUGGCCCACACCUUUAAACCUCAACACUUUGGGAGGCCAAGGAGGGUGAAUCACUUGAUACCAGGAGUUCAAGGUUGUAGUGAGCUAUGAUCGCGCCACUGCACUCCAGCCUAGGUGACAGAGUGAGACCCUGUCUCUAAAAAAGAAAAGAUAUGCAUCUGCUGGGGUCAUCACUCUCCCCAAAGCAAGGCUGGGCACACAGGUGAUUCGUAUAUGCUGGCUGGAAGGGAGGGAAGCAGAGCCACCUGGGAUUGAUCAUCUCCCAGUGAGAAUACACCCAGUCCCUGUUGUGUGUCCCCACGGCCACAAGGCGUCAGUAAAGACCUUGGCUUGGAGUUGUCUGGAGCCAGGAAAACAGACUGGACUUUGAGGGCAGGACACCUCACCUGAAGGUGCUUUAGUUAGGUUCAGCACAUCUGAAAGAGAGAGAGAGAAAUAGGGGUGGUAGAACUGAGCAGUUGACAGAAGGGGACUCCAGGACUUGUCUCAGAGAGUAAGGGGCUGUGUUCUCUGCCCUUCAUUCACUUAUUCUACAAUUGUUUGUUCAUUUCUAGUACAUGCCAAGCACUAUUUUAGGUGCCAAGGUCCUAGCAGCUCACUCACAAAGUCCCUGCUCACAUAGAGUAGAUAGUAGAUUACUGUCUAGACAGAAAACAAACAAAAAAAACACGAUAAUUUCAUGGGGUGAUAAGUGCCGUGAAGAAAAUAAAAUGGAAAUGGAAUAGUGACUGUGUUGCAGGGGGCGUCUUUCAGAGAGAUGGUCAGGGAAGCUCAAGGGGAAUCCAAAGCCUUCAUAAAAAGUCAGAGCUGCCAAGGCUCCCAAGGGAC